ACACGACUACAUUAGAUACCCGCGUAGUCCUAGCCGUAAACGAUACUCGCUAGGUGUCGGCCACGGUGCGACCGUUGUCGGGUGCCGUAGGGAAGCCGUGAAGCGAGCCACCUGGGAAAGUACGGCCGCAAGGCUGAACUUAAGGAAUUGGCGGGGGAGCACCACAACGGGUGGAGCUUGCGGUUUAAUUGGAUUCAACGCCGGAAAUCUUACCGGGACCGACAGCAACAUGAAGGCCAGGCUGAAGACUUUGCCGGAUUAGCUG
Molecule: ribosomal RNA, 265 nt
Filed under: uncultured archaeon
Lineage: Archaea
Description: partial 16S ribosomal RNA
Rfam family: Archaeal small subunit ribosomal RNA
Source: RNAcentral